UCUUGAUCUCUUGACCUCGUGAUCCGCCCUCCUCAGCCUCCCAAAGUGUUGGGAUUACAGGCAUGAGCCACCACUCCUGGCCUGUACAAGUUUUUAUCCACAACCUGUUUCUCUUCUUCUCCUUUCUCCCAGGGCAGUCCCAUUUCACAUCUAUAAUUUCUAGUACCACCUGUAUACUCGGGGCAACAAAGGAUGUAUCUCUAACCUAGAUUUCUCCCUCAGGUGACAGUCCUGGAUAUCUGACUGUUUUCUGGACAACUCUUGGAUGAUCUGAAACUGAACGAUUCAUUCCACAAAUAGUUGGUGCUGUGUGCCUAGCCCAUCAUAGAUGGUGCCCCUUCAUUCCUGCAUCUGAUGAAUCCAGGGAACCCUCUCUGCAACACCCUUGGCCUCUCUGCGACUUUCUAACAUCAAGCAGAGUCAGAGGCACCAUCCCCAGACUUUUCAGAAGCUACAAAUCUUCAGCAUUCUUCACUCUGUGAAGUCAGAGAAAUGGAGGGACCAUAGCUCUGAGCUCAUUGGCAAAUACAACUAAUUUCAAUUUCUGGAAUGGAAGCAGUCAGAUAUUCUUCUAACUGCAUGCGUAUGUGGGAGUGCCAUGUCGAAGAGUGGAAAAUAUGGAAGAUCAGUCCCUACAAACUUCACAGGAGAAUGACAUUCAGAUUUCCCGAGUAUUUUGCAUGUCCAACUGAAAACUGAAGUAGGUUUAUGAGAAAAUGCAUGCCUACCUGGAUGGGUCUGGGGAG
Molecule: long non-coding RNA, 746 nt
Organism: Chlorocebus sabaeus (green monkey)
Lineage: Eukaryota; Metazoa; Chordata; Mammalia; Primates; Cercopithecidae
Source: RefSeq, a predicted model, not a curated record